CCUACGGGGGGCUGCAGUGAGGAAUAUUGGUCAAUGGGCGCGAGCCUGAACCAGCCAAGUCGCGUGAGGGAAGACGGUCCUAUGGAUUGUAAACCUCUUUUGUCGGGGAGCAAAAGACGCCACGCGUGGCGUUACGAGAGUACCCGAAGAAAAAGCAUCGGCUAACUCCGUGCCAGCAGCCGCGGUAAUACGGAGGAUGUGAGUGUUAUCCGGAUUUAUUGGGUUUAAAGGGUGCGCAGGCGGAAGAUCAAGUUAGAGGUAAAAUUGAGAGGCUCAACCUCUUCGAGCCGUUGAAACUGGUUUUCUUGAGUGAGCGAGAAGUAUGCGGAAGGCGUGGUGUAGCGGUGAAAUGCAUAGAUAUCACGCAGAACUCCGAUGGCGAAGGCAGCAUACCGGCGCUUAACUGACGCUCAGGCACGAAAGUGUGGGUAGCGAACAGGAUUAGAUACCCUAGUAGUC
RNAcentral lists this ribosomal RNA (459 nucleotides) under uncultured bacterium. Its description in RNAcentral is "partial 16S ribosomal RNA". It matches the Rfam family "Bacterial small subunit ribosomal RNA", at positions 338 to 795 of the family's 1533-position model. The record is from RNAcentral.